GAUGAACGCUGGCGGCGUGCCUAAUACAUGCAAGUAGAACGCUGAAGGAAGGAGCUUGCUCUUUCCGGAUGAGUUGCGAACGGGUGAGUAACGCGUAGGUAACCUGCCUGGUAGCGGGGGAUAACUAUUGGAAACGAUAGCUAAUACCGCAUAACAGUAGAUGUUGCAUGAUAUCUACUUAAAAGGUGCAAUUGCACCACUACCAGAUGGACCUGCGUUGUAUUAGCUAGUUGGUGAGGUAACGGCUCACCAAGGCGACGAUACAUAGCCGGCCUGAGAGGGUGAUCGGCCACACUGGGACUGAGACACGGCCCAGACUCCUACGGGAGGCAGCAGUAGGGAAUCUUCGGCAAUAGACGGAAGUCUGACCGAGCAACGCCGCGUGAGUGAAGAAGGUUUUCGGAUCGUAAAGCUCUGUUGUAAGAGAAGAACGAGUGUGAGAGUGGAAAGUUCACACUGUGACGGUAUCUUACCAGAAAGGGACGGCUAACUACGUG
RNAcentral lists this ribosomal RNA (497 nucleotides) under uncultured bacterium. RNAcentral's name for it is "partial 16S ribosomal RNA". It matches the Rfam family "Bacterial small subunit ribosomal RNA", at positions 28 to 507 of the family's 1533-position model. The record is from RNAcentral.